AAUUCAGCGGAAACAAGGUUGUAGCUAGCUAUCUGCAAUUAAUGGAACUAAGCGUUCUACAUAUGUGUAUGUAAUCAGUAAAGAGGACGCCUGAUGGCAAGGGUGUAGCUAGCUAUUUUACUAGUCAGAGGCAGACUAAUUCACGUGCACGUACAGUAGUUAGUGUCGACAUUAGCAGGGUACUCUCUAUCUCAAUAUACGGAAUGCAAGCUAGGUAGCUAACGUUAGUUAAUCAGCAUCAAUCUAAAACAAUAAUGUUUGAAAUCCUGUCUGGUGAAAGAUCCAUUAGCUAGAGACUGUUGUCUUGGAGACCUCAGAGCCCAAAUGUCCCCCAGGGCCUGGCUCAAUGAGAGGCAUGGACAGUUUGGUACUAGACUCUGAAUCAGAUGAGGAGAUAUCUGGGUCAUCCAUGAUGUUGUUGGGAGACCCAGCCCGUAAGAGGAGACUAGAGGUGUGUAACAGCUCCCAGGAGAGUGGGGCAUCCAACUCCAGCAAGAAACCAGCCCUCCAGGAAGAUUUAGGGGUGAGUCCACUAGGGCCAGGACAAUACCAGUAUCGCAAUACUCGUUGGUAUCGAGGUAAGGAAACAAAACACAAAGCGGAUUUAACUUCUUUAGGAAAACAGCCCUAAUGCUGGAAACACACAUCAUGUUGUAAUCCAGUGGCACAUUUGUGCGUUGGAAAAAAUAUUACAAUACUGGUCUCGUCCCGGUCCUAGAGUCCACCUGACUGCAGUCCAAUACCUCCUUCAGCCUCCAUGCCACCCCCAAACCAGGGUGGGGGUGCAUACUCAGUUUACACCUGAUGUGUGAGUCAUCUGUGUUGAGCUAGAGAUUUACUGAAGUAAUUUGGCUAAAGUGCCGCGCUCAAGUGCACAAGAGCCCUGUGCCCCACCUGGAGUUUUGACCUUGAGGUUAGUGGUUUAUUUCCCUGACCAAGAUGAUAUACUGCCAUCUUGCUUGUUCAUUUGUUAUUUGUCAUCUCCAGUACAGAGGGGUAGGCUUGCGUGGGGAGGAGCUCACACUCUAAUUGGCCUGUCUGCCUUCGGAAUUCACGCGCCAGUGUGUUUUUGUCCAACCAAACAGAUGUUUCUGAGGACGAGGGUCCAGAGCCCAGCUGGAAGAGCUGCAGACUAAGUUCCCCAUUCUACAGACUAAGGCUGUAGAAUCCCUCUCUACAGUGCCUGUGUUCUCUGUCACUGCAGUUCCACAACACAUUCAUGAAUAUCCUAAAUGUUGGCAAAUGUGAACCAAAAUUGUUUGAAAUGUGGGAGCUGCAUAUGAAUAAUUAUUUUGACAAAAAAUGUGUGCUUUUGGUUUACAACGGUGUCUAUUUGUCUUAUCUUGCAUGCACACAAGAGCUUAGAGAACCACUUCUGGAGCAUGGUAGACAUUUUGAGGAAAUCCUAUAAGCACUGUGCAAGUUUUCAGAGGAGGAGAGGUCCAGUCAAGAGGACACCCAGGCAUCAUCAUCAGCUAGUUUUCCCCCCUAAACCUCAGCAUGCCAGGCAGCCCAAGCAGCCAAACUCCCUGGUCAUCCCCAAUCACUACCUCACAAGCCUACCAAUGGGAGCAUAAUUAAGACCUUCAAUAGGCUGCCCGAAGGAGCAGACAAAAGGAGGAAGGUGAUUCCAGAUCCAGGCACCAGCUCUGAGGACGAGGCCAGUGAUGACUUUGAUGUGUCUGCUGAGGGCAUGGAGAUGGAACUUGGAUGCCUCAGGCUCAGAUCAGGAGGUUGGAACAGGGUCUAAUGUGAAGGGCCAGAUCCUCUGGUUUUUCCAGGAGGCAUCGCCGGUUGAGCUGUCUCAUCUCUGGCUGCUCUGUGAAGAAGGCCCAGAAGAUUGUCGAGCUUCGCCUAUUUAACGAGUGGGAGAAUCUGGUGGCUGUUCUCGACGGAGGGAACGGCCUCUCCACUGACCUGGUGCAGGGCUGUUGUGUGGUCCUGAGGGAACAGGACUUGGCGCGCAGCCUCUUGACCAAGUGUGAGAACAUCACCAACAAGAUGAUGCAAGACGUGACUCAAGCGGUGGAGAGGAACAAGGGCUUUCAGAAACAGCCUGAGAUCCUCAACAGCAAGGUUUGGGGGAAGACCAUUCAGGCCAUCUCGUUCCUGUUUCCUUUUAAAGCAAGGAACAACCAUUGUAAAGAAUCCAAGUUACCAUGGAAACAGAGUCAACUGCACAAAUGCCCGGCUGUCCCGUCUUCAAUCAGCUGUUAGUUUGGUCUUGCUUCUCUGGUGUACUAUGGUGAGUGACUCAUCUGUUCAUUCUGAGUGGUGGGACACAUCAUACUGUCGCCAUCAUGGUUAAGGCUUAACAUUGAUUUGAUUAUACAGAUUUCAACCUGUUGGUUUAAGUCACCAGAAGCGAAAGGAUUCCCAAAUAUAGAUUCAGUUUAGAUUGUCCUAUUUAUAUUGUGUGUGUGUAUAUGGUCUGUGGAGGAUGGCAGGUUCUUUCGAUAUGAUAUUCUCAACAAAUGGGUCGACUACAACAUAAUAAUUUCCCGUAAGUCCAAAAUCGAAGAAUGACGGUUAUGUAAGAAUGACUAUACACAGAAGUACACUCGAGUCUAUUAAACUACAGGUUCACAUCCUACUGUGUUAGCUAACUGCUGGGUGUCUUCUGAGCGAGACACUUAGCCUAAGUGCCUCUGGAAAUAUCCAGGGGAAUUAGUGGAGAUCUUGUAAAACCAUCAGCCGUGUAAGUCACCCCAGCCAGGUUUCUGCUAACACUCCAAUAAUGAUAAUAUAUUCAGUGUUUGACUGAACCUGAAAAGGUCUUUGUAAGCUGAACCUGUGACUCAUUCAUUAUUCAUGGUAGUCAAGUGGUUGCCAUGCCUCACAGACUACUUGUGGGAACCUUGUGUGGCUCCUUGAGCUGCCGUGUGUCUGCUGCCAGCUACGCUCGGACUAUCGCCAAAUGACCGCAGCCUGUCCCGAAAGCUCAGAACGCCGAGCAUGAGCUGAAGAACAUGAGCUUCGCUGCUCUAGUGCCACCUCUUGGCCAUCAACAUCAGUACAUUGCUAGAGGCACCGGGAGAGGGAGGGCUUUCAUUGGUCAUCUUGGUUGAAACAGCAGAGAGGAAGAGGUGAAGUGAUAGGUUUUACUCUGCCCAAAAUCUGUCCACGAAAAUAAACCCACAAAGUGAGGAAUUUUUGUAUGGGGGUCAAUGAGAGAGUGUCGAAAUUGGUCAACAAAACAUUGAAUUGCUCAUUUGCUCCAUGAGGCUUAUUUGAUUGAAUAGAAGUUUCAUAAUGGUUAGGUUGUUACGAAUGCACUGAUGAGAGAGAGAUAUAAUAUGUUUUGGCAUUGAGGGCUUCCACUAUCUUAAAAUAGUCAACUGGGUGGGGAUUCCUAUGAGUUGGGAGCAAUCAGCCAAUGAAGAAGAAGGAAAUGUACUAUUUUAAAAUGGAGAUAGCCUCAACUUCUAAAAUCUUAACAACUUGGACGUGCUCACAUUUCCUGAUUUCCUUGUCCCAAAUGUUUCAUUCCGUCCAUCCUCAACCCCAGGACGUGGGUGCUCACAAUACACAAUGAUUCCCCAGUUGAUCCUGCCAUGCUUUUCUCGGUUGUCAUAGGGGGGGAAAUGCUGACGUAAGUUAAGAUUUUAGAAGUUGUCUAGUGUAUGACCAACAUUCUGGGCCAUGAGUGACAAGAAGCAGCAGCUCUACAACACCUUGAUGCAGAAGCUGUAGGGAUCCACCAAUGGAGAGAGUAUGUUAGGGAGAGGAAUAAAGAGAGAAAGGUAUCUUGGUCAUUUGAAAAGCGAUAAUAUACUUAAGGGAAUCCUAAAAAGCCAAACAAGUUUAAUUUUAAGAUGCACAGGUUAACUGAUUUAAGACCAUGGCAUGUGUCCAUGUGUCUUCAGAGAGAGAACUGACCAAUGGGAUGAUACUCAUCUUCUGCACAUUUAUCACUCCAGUGUUUAAUUGCUAUAUUGUAAUUAUUUUGCCACUAUGGCCUAUUCAUUGCCUUACCUCCCUUAUCCUACCUCAU
This is a long non-coding RNA of Oncorhynchus tshawytscha (Chinook salmon), 3994 nucleotides long. RefSeq lists it as uncharacterized. Lineage: Eukaryota; Metazoa; Chordata; Actinopteri; Salmoniformes; Salmonidae. The transcript has 6 exons. The record is from RefSeq and is a predicted model, not a curated record.